GAUGAAGAACGCAGCGAAAUGCGAUAAGUAAUGUGAAUUGCAGAAUUCAGUGAAUCAUCGAAUCUUUGAACGCACAUUGCGCCCCCUGGUAUUCCGGGGGGCAUGCCUGUUCGAGCGUCAUUUCACCACUCAAGCCUCGCUUGGUAUUGGGCAACGCGGUCCGCCGCGUGCCUCAAAUCGACCGGCUGGGUCUUCUGUCCCCUAAGCGUUGUGGAAACUAUUCGCUAAAGGGUGUUCGGGAGGCUACGCCGUAAAACAACCCCAUUUCUAAGGUUGACCUCGGAUCAGGUAGGGAUACCCGCUGAACUUAAGCAUAUCAUAAGCGGAGG
Molecule: unclassified non-coding RNA, 329 nt
Filed under: soil metagenome
Description: partial contains 5.8S ribosomal RNA, internal transcribed spacer 2, and large subunit ribosomal RNA
Rfam family: 5.8S ribosomal RNA (bases 1-120)
Source: RNAcentral